CCUCACGGGCGAUCUGGUUGAGCGCGUCGUCCUCCGCCGUCAGGCGCUCCCGGUUCGGCAGCCGCUUCCUGCCGGCGCCUUGCGUCCCCAUGGCGGGGGAACGGUUCCAACCACUUAAUACCAGGAAGAAAAGCUCCUGCAUUUGAUACCUCACAUUUCUGCAUAUGUGCUGAAGCCGUGCAUCGCUGCCCUGUCUCCUGCCUCGCUCACCGACCCGCCCAGGACAGUGGCAGACAGCAGAUAUAGUUCCUGGCCGGCCGAAAACAAGCCGUGCUGGUGCUAAGGGAUGCAGCCUCCAGCUGUGCUAAUCACCAGCAGGGCAGGAAGGCAGGUCAUUAUUGUUUCCUGAAGUGAAGAAGUGUGCCUAAACUCGGAAGUGAAAGAAGAUACCAGUAAGAAAACAUUGGAUGAAACGGAAACAAAACACUUCAGAUGUUACAGCGUAUUCGAGCUAAAGGUGCAUCUGAUUUUAAGUCAUAAUACAUUUUCCUAGCACCCCUAGCAUCCCUAUUUUUUCCAUGCACAGGGAAAAAAAUGACAUUUGGGAGCGAUCCAUGUGCUCAGCACACUUCCUUGCCCUCUGCCCCCAUGCACCCCGAGUCAUCAGCCAGCUCCUGCACCCCAAACCCCUCACCAAUUACCAUCCUCUGCAAUUUUCGUGUCGGCUUUUCCACAGCAUUAAUUAUUAUGGCACUGAAGCCCUUCUGAUCAUUCCCUGUAGAACUCUGAGGGAAUUAUUUCCCCUGUUCUCCGUCAGCAAAGAGCCAAAAUGGUCGGGCAAGAGCUGUCAAAUUCGCUAGUGUUUAAUUUUCUCAAUAACUGUAGAAACAAUUAAAAGAAGAUUUUCC
Molecule: long non-coding RNA, 848 nt
Organism: Cygnus olor (mute swan)
Lineage: Eukaryota; Metazoa; Chordata; Aves; Anseriformes; Anatidae
Exons: 2
Source: RefSeq, a predicted model, not a curated record